Molecule: ribosomal RNA, 210 nt
Filed under: uncultured bacterium
Lineage: Bacteria
Description: partial 16S ribosomal RNA
Rfam family: Bacterial small subunit ribosomal RNA
Source: RNAcentral
CGGAUCGGAGUCUGCAACCCGACUCCGUGAAGCUGGAUUCGCUAGUAAUCGCGCAUCAGCCAUGGCGCGGUGAAUACGUUCCCGGGCCUUGUACACACCGCCCGUCACACCAUGAGAGUUGGCAAUACCCAACGUACGUGAUCUAACCCGCAAGGGAGGAAGCGUCCUAAGGUAGGGUCAGCGAUUGGGGUGAAGUCGUAACAAGGUAGC